AGUGAACGCUGGCGGCAGGCCUAACACAUGCAAGUCGAACGGCAAGACACUGAGAGUUUGCUUUUACCGGUGGCGGGUGGCGGACGGGUGACGAGUAUAUCGGACCCUUAUUUUUCGUGGAGGAUAACGUAGGGACGGCUAAGCUAAUAUAGCAUAUCAUGUACGUGUGAAAGCAGGGGAUCUUCGCGGCUUUUGCGUUUGUACUAGCUGCUGCCGGGUUUGCUUGUUGGGUGGGUAAUGGCCCAGCAUGGCAACGAUACGUAGCUGGAUCGCGAGGAUGAUCGGCCGCACGGGAACUGAGACACGGUCCAGACUCCUACGGGAGGCAGCAGUGGGGAAUAUUGGGCAAUGGGCGCAAGCCUGAUCCAGCCAUACCGCGUGAGUGAAGAAGGCCUUCUGUUCGUAAAGCCCUUUUUUUGGGAAAGAAAAGCUGCAGAUUAAUACCCCGCUGUUCUGACGGUACCCAAUAAAUAAGCACCGGCUAACUACGUG
This 492-nucleotide ribosomal RNA is filed under the name uncultured bacterium. RNAcentral's name for it is "partial 16S ribosomal RNA". It matches the Rfam family "Bacterial small subunit ribosomal RNA", at positions 29 to 507 of the family's 1533-position model. The record is from RNAcentral.